CCGGCUCACGUCGAACGCUGGCGGCGCGCCUAACACAUGCAAGUCGAACGAGCGAGAGAGAGCUUGCUUUCUCGAGCGAGUGGCGAACGGGUGAGUAACGCGUGAGGAACCUGCCUCAAAGAGGGGGACAACAGUUGGAAACGACUGCUAAUACCGCAUAAGCCCACGGGUCGGCAUCGACCAGAGGGAAAAGGAGCAAUCCGCUUUGAGAUGGCCUCGCGUCCGAUUAGCUAGUUGGUGAGGUAACGGCCCACCAAGGCGACGAUCGGUAGCCGGACUGAGAGGUUGAACGGCCACAUUGGGACUGAGACACGGCCCAGACUCCUACGGGAGGCAGCAGUGGGGAAUAUUGCACAAUGGGGGAAACCCUGAUGCAGCGACGCCGCGUGGAGGAAGAAGGUCUUCGGAUUGUAAACUCCUGUUGUUGAGGAAGAUAAUGACGGUACUCAACAAGGAAGUGACGGCUAACUACGUGCCAGCAGCCGCGGUAAAACGUAGGUCACAAGCGUUGUCCGGAAUUACUGGGUGUAAAGGGAGCGCAGGCGGGAAGACAAGUUGGAAGUGAAAUCCAUGGGCUCAACCCAUGAACUGCUUUCAAAACUGUUUUUCUUGAGUAGUGCAGAGGUAGGCGGAAUUCCCGGUGUAGCGGUGGAAUGCGUAGAUAUCGGGAGGAACACCAGUGGCGAAGGCGGCCUACUGGGCACCAACUGACGCUGAGGCUCGAAAGUGUGGGUAGCAAACAGGAUUAGAUACCCUGGUAGUCCACACCGUAAACGAUGAUUACUAGGUGUUGGAGGAUUGACCCCUUCAGUGCCGCAGUUAACACAAUAAGUAAUCCACCUGGGGAGUACGACCGCAAGGUUGAAACUCAAAGGAAUUGACGGGGGCCCGCACAAGCAGUGGAGUAUGUGGUUUAAUUCGACGCAACGCGAAGAACCUUACCAAGUCUUGACAUCCUGCGACGGUGCUGGAAACAGUGCUUUCCUUCGGGACGCAGAGACAGGUGGUGCAUGGUUGUCGUCAGCUCGUGUCGUGAGAUGUUGGGUUAAGUCCCGCAACGAGCGCAACCCUUAUGGUCAGUUACUACGCAAGAGGACUCUGGCCAGACUGCCGUUGACAAAACGGAGGAAGGUGGGGAUGACGUCAAAUCAUCAUGCCCUUUAUGACUUGGGCUACACACGUACUACAAUGGCGUUAAACAAAGAGAAGCAAGACCGCGAGGUGGAGCAAAACUCAGAAACAACGUCCCAGUUCGGACUGCAGGCUGCAACUCGCCUGCACGAAGUCGGAAUUGCUAGUAAUCGUGGAUCAGCAUGCCACGGUGAAUACGUUCCCGGGCCUUGUACACACCGCC
Molecule: ribosomal RNA, 1354 nt
Filed under: uncultured bacterium
Lineage: Bacteria
Description: bacterial SSU rRNA
Rfam family: Bacterial small subunit ribosomal RNA
Source: RNAcentral